AUUAAAUAAUUCCAUUUCAUAAUAGGUAAUCACUUCCGGUGGUGUUACUUACAAAAAUGAACCAUGGCAUCGUGAAUGCUUCACUUGCACCCAUUGCAAUAUUACUUUAGCUGGGCAGCGAUUCACAAGUCGCGAUGAGAAACCCUACUGUGCUGAGUGUUUCGGCGAGCUCUUCGCUAAACGUUGUACAGCAUGUGUUAAGCCAAUAACAGGCAUUGGCGGCACACGUUUCAUUUCAUUUGAGGAUCGUCACUGGCAUCACGAUUGCUUUGUAUGUGCCAGUUG
Teleopsis dalmanni is the source of this 285-nucleotide long non-coding RNA. RefSeq lists it as uncharacterized. The record is from RefSeq and is a predicted model, not a curated record. Lineage: Eukaryota; Metazoa; Arthropoda; Insecta; Diptera; Diopsidae. The transcript has 2 exons.